Triticum aestivum (bread wheat) is the source of this 216-nucleotide non-coding RNA. Lineage: Eukaryota; Viridiplantae; Streptophyta; Magnoliopsida; Poales; Poaceae. The record is from Rfam.
UGUUUUUUUAUGCCAAAACACAGGUCUUCGCAAAGUCGUAAGACCAUGUAUAGGGGUUGACGCAUGCCUAGUGCCGGAAGGUCAAGGAAGUUGGUGAACUGAUGACAGGGAAGCCAGCGACCGAAGCUCCGGUGAAGGGCGGCCGUAACUAUAACGGUCCUAAGGUAGCGAAAUUCCUUGUUGGGUAAGUUCCGACCCGCACGAAAGGCGUAACGA